CUACGGGUUGCAGCAGUGAGGAAUUUUGCGCAAUGGGGGAAACCCUGACGCAGCAACGCCGCGUGAGCGAAGAAGGCCCUCGGGUCGUAAAGCUCUGUCAAGUGGGAAAAAAAUUCUUUGAUGAACAGUCAAAGGACUUGAUGGUACCACUGGAGGAAGCACCGGCUAACUCCGUGCCAGCAGCCGCGGUAAUACGGAGGGUGCAAGCGUUGUUCGGAAUUACUGGGCGUAAAGAGCGUGUAGGCGGUUUGACAAGUCAGAUGUGAAAGCCCCGGGCUCAACCCGGGAAGUGCAUUUGAAACUGUUUCACUAGAGUAUGGGAGAGGAGAUUGGAAUUCCUGGUGUAGAGGUGAAAUUCGUAGAUAUCAGGAGGAACACCCGUGGCGAAGGCGAUUCUCUGGACCAAUACUGACGCUGAGACGCGAAAGCGUGGGGAGCAAACAGGAUUAGAUACCCCCGUAGUC
RNAcentral lists this ribosomal RNA (464 nucleotides) under uncultured bacterium. RNAcentral's name for it is "partial 16S ribosomal RNA". It matches the Rfam family "Bacterial small subunit ribosomal RNA", at positions 339 to 795 of the family's 1533-position model. The record is from RNAcentral.